GACUCUAUAGCUCAGUGGUUAGAGCAUACGAUUGCAGUCACGUGACCUAUCGUGUUGUCGCGUGUUCGACUCACGCUAGGGUCU
Molecule: non-coding RNA, 84 nt
Organism: Artomyces pyxidatus
Lineage: Eukaryota; Fungi; Basidiomycota; Agaricomycetes; Russulales; Auriscalpiaceae
Source: the annotation of a GenBank genome assembly